GMRRUUCUGCAAAKUCUUCUUUGCAAUUUGUUGUUCGCAAAAUUGGUGCAUUUGCGUGCAGAGUGCGCCGAAUCAUUCGAGCACGCUGUUUGAGGCUUGUGAAGAGGACCAAACUCGUUUGGAAACUUUUGCAUGCGGAUGACAGUCGAGUUUGAUUGUAAGAUUGGARAUGUAUGCGGAUGAAUGUGCAGUUUUGAGCUGUUUUUGUACGAUGCAUGCGUUUUGCAUUUAUGGCUUUUGACCGUGCAGUCAUUUGCCCAUUUUCGAAUUCGGUGUUUAGUCGCUCACCUAUUCGACCCGUCUUGAAACACGGACCAAGGAGUUUAAGGUGUACGCAAGUCAUUGGCGGUUGAAAGUCAAAGGCGUAAUGAAAGUGGGACACUUAGUGUCUGUGGUGUGAUUUUUUGGAGUUUCGACUCCUCGAAAGCAACAUCGACCCAUGACUAGGACUUGUUCUGUUGUGGAGUCUGAGCGUACGCUUUGAGACCCGAAA
This 493-nucleotide ribosomal RNA is filed under the name Aphelenchoides sp. Cu1. Its description in RNAcentral is "eukaryotic LSU rRNA". It matches the Rfam family "Eukaryotic large subunit ribosomal RNA", at positions 435 to 821 of the family's 3401-position model. Lineage: Eukaryota; Metazoa; Nematoda; Chromadorea; Rhabditida; Aphelenchoididae. The record is from RNAcentral.